UAGGGAACAGUGAGUAAUAGUGAGUAGGGAACAGUGAGUAAUAGUGAGGAACAGUGAGUAGGGAACAGUGAGUAGGGAACAGUGAGUAGGGAACAGUGAGUAAUAGUGAGUAGGGAACAGUGAGUAGGGAACAGUGAGGAACAGUGAGUAGGGAACAGUGAGUAGGGAACAGUGAGUAGGGAACAUGGAAUAUCGAGUAAGGAGUAGUGAGUAAGGAGGAGUAGGGAAUAGUGAAUAUUGUAUAGAGGAAGUAGAGAGUAGAGAAUAGGGAGUAGUGGAGAGGGCAUAUGGUACAGGAAGUAGGGGAUAGAGAGUAGUGAGUAGGGGAUCGGGAAUAGGGAAUAGAGGAUCGGGAA
Molecule: long non-coding RNA, 356 nt
Organism: Ictalurus punctatus (channel catfish)
Lineage: Eukaryota; Metazoa; Chordata; Actinopteri; Siluriformes; Ictaluridae
Source: Ensembl